CGGGGCGUAGCGAAGCCUGGUUAUCGCGCCUGGCUGGGGGCCAGGAGAUCCCCAGUUCGAAUCUGGGCGCCCCGA
RNAcentral lists this transfer RNA (75 nucleotides) under Gaiellaceae bacterium. RNAcentral's name for it is "tRNA-Pro". It matches the Rfam family "tRNA". Rfam says of the family: Transfer RNA (tRNA) molecules are approximately 80 nucleotides in length. The record is from RNAcentral. Lineage: Bacteria; Bacillati; Actinomycetota; Thermoleophilia; Gaiellales; Gaiellaceae. RNAcentral also lists the same sequence under 3 other names.